Molecule: long non-coding RNA, 854 nt
Organism: Dromaius novaehollandiae (emu)
Lineage: Eukaryota; Metazoa; Chordata; Aves; Casuariiformes; Dromaiidae
Exons: 2
Source: RefSeq, a predicted model, not a curated record
CGCCACGCCGCCCUCGCCCGCCGCGCUCUCCGCGGCAGCCCCUCCUCUGAGGGCUGCGGGCGCGGCGCAGAAAUUUUUUGGCCAUGUUCUCUAUCAGUCCUGCGUCCGCCGAGUUACGAAUUUGCAUUAGAUUGCACCAAAACGCGCUCUCGCAGGGAAGGGUAUUGCGUCUUGGGGACAGCAGUGUGAUGCCUGCUGCUUCCACCGUGCUCUCGUUAAGUCCUGGGCAAUGACAGACGAGUUACUGCGAGAAACCAUAGCUGGGAAGAGAGAAACUGAAACGGAGAUGGUUAUAGGGCCUACUUCUGUCUUCAGAGAGAGAGAAAAGAAAAAAAGACAGACAAAAAUCGUAGGGAUUAUAACUUGGACAGAAACAAGUCUUUGGUGUCAGCGUUUCUGAUUCGGUCUCGCAUUAUAAUGGUUACCAUCAGCCUCGUUUUCUUUUUAUGGUCAUGCUGGUUUCCUGGUUGCAUGACACUUCCAUUGGGCCACUGUUUUUAGUAAUUUAACCUUUUAUGAGAUUGUUUUGAUUUACAGUAUGGAUUGGAGUGAGAGCAAGGAAGUGUGCUAUCGCACAAUCGGCCAUUUAACUCCUCUAAUGUAUGCAAAGGUCGCCGUUGUUUAAGAUGUUAAGAGAAAGGUGGUGGUUCUUUUUUUUCCCCCCAGGCAACUAGUCAUUUUCUAAUUUUAUUUUUACUUAAGUGAAAAAUACCAUUCAGAUAUUGUAACUUCUUUGUGCUGAACUACGCAGAAUCUGUGCUGUUUUGGAUUCAAUGGCAGACUUGUUUGCUUGCUAGAGUCCUAAGACAUGUAAACUGUGUUGAAAAUAGAAUUAAAACCACAACUCAACUUGC